Molecule: ribosomal RNA, 494 nt
Filed under: uncultured bacterium
Lineage: Bacteria
Description: partial 16S ribosomal RNA
Rfam family: Bacterial small subunit ribosomal RNA
Source: RNAcentral
GACGAACGCUGGCGGCGCGCUUAACACAUGCAAGUCGAACGGAAAGGCCUGCUUUCCCUUGUGGAUUGCGGGUACUCGAGUGGCGAACGGGUGAGUAACACGUGAGUGAUCUGCCCCCAACUUGGGUAUAAGCCUGGGAAACUGGGUCUAAUUCCCGAUAGGACUGCAGGGUGGUGCCUGUGGUGGAAAACGAUUUUCUAGUGGUUGGGGAUGAGCUCGCGGCCUAUCAGCUUGUUGGUGGGGUAAUGGCCUACCAAGGCGGCGACGGGUAGCCGGCCUGAGAGGGUGGACGGCCACAUUGGGACUGAGAUACGGCCCAGACGCCUACGGGAGGCAGCAGUGGGGAAUAUUGCACAAUGGGCGGGAGCCUGAUGCAGCGACGCCGCGUGGGGGAUGACGGCCUUCGGGUUGUAAACUCCUUUCGACCGCGAGGAAGCCACCUGGUUGGAAGGGUGGUGACGGUAGUGGUAGAAGAAGCACCGGCUAACUACGUG